AUCUGGGCGGCGGAAUUCAGGAUGGCGAGCGUGUCGUUUGCGCGGCGCGUUGGUCGUUUGAUAUUUCCGUCGUCGAUCGCAGACGUCGCGACCUGUUCGCGGCCGGUCCUUGCUCGGAGGAGUCGCGUUCGAGUUCGUUGUGUACGUGUUUCGGCGCGUCACACGGCGAAGGCGCGAAUCUCUGGCUGGCCGACGGACAGUACGUUAAACGGUGUCCGAUGUCGUCGUCUCGUACGCGCGCGCAUCGGUACCGGUCGGCGACGAUUUCUUCGGGCCUCUUUCCGACCCGUCUUGAAACACGGACCAAGGAGUCUAACAUGCGCGCGAGUCGCGGGGUGUCGAGCGUACCACGCGUACGUUCGUUACGUUACGAAACCCGUACAUAUCGAAGGCGUAAUGAAAGUAAAUGGGGAAGAUGGUGUACCGAGAACACGUUCCGCGGUCAUUGGUACCGUGGCCGGACACCCGCAUUCCCGGGGCGUCUCAACGGCCCGUCGCGGAUGCGGACAACCGUCUCUCGGGACGGCUGUCGGUCUGCGACGAACCGA
This 548-nucleotide ribosomal RNA is filed under the name Sishanaspis sp. ud4493. RNAcentral's name for it is "partial 28S ribosomal RNA". The record is from RNAcentral. Lineage: Eukaryota; Metazoa; Arthropoda; Insecta; Hemiptera; Diaspididae.